UCUUGACUAGUAUAUCGGUUAGUACACGCGCUUGUCAUUAUGCAUUGUGUACGCGCGAAAGCUGGGUUCGACUCCCAGGUCGAGAG
Non-coding RNA from Mycena vitilis, 86 nucleotides. The record is from the annotation of a GenBank genome assembly. NCBI's taxonomy places the organism in Eukaryota, Fungi, Basidiomycota, Agaricomycetes, Agaricales, Mycenaceae.